RNAcentral lists this transfer RNA (68 nucleotides) under Cucumaria frondosa. RNAcentral describes it as "tRNA-Cys". Lineage: Eukaryota; Metazoa; Echinodermata; Holothuroidea; Dendrochirotida; Cucumariidae. The record is from RNAcentral.
GGUUCUAGGGUGUAUUUCACAUAUUUAAUUGCAAAUUAAAAGUUACUAAAAGAAUUUAGUUAGAACUU